GGCGCAGUAGUCGCACCGCCCUCCGAGGGCGGGUGCGCAGGUUCGAAUCCUGCCGGGGCUC
This 61-nucleotide transfer RNA is filed under the name Saccharothrix variisporea. Its description in RNAcentral is "Dactylosporangium variesporum tRNA". It matches the Rfam family "tRNA", at positions 9 to 71 of the family's 71-position model. Rfam says of the family: Transfer RNA (tRNA) molecules are approximately 80 nucleotides in length. Their secondary structure includes four short double-helical elements and three loops (D, anti-codon, and T loops). The record is from Rfam by way of RNAcentral. Lineage: Bacteria; Bacillati; Actinomycetota; Actinomycetes; Pseudonocardiales; Pseudonocardiaceae.